CUGCAACACCUGCGAGCUGUUCGACCGUGGCCACCGGGCCGCCGAGUGACACGGAGCAAGAUGCACCCGCAACAGCUUGGAGGAAACUGGGUCAAUUUUUUAUAGACUUUAAAAUGAAAUAUGAAUAAAACUCCUUCUGAGAGCAGUAAAGCUGGAAGCAAUUCCAAGCCUUCUUUGAACAGAAAGGCUGCUCUGUUUCUUGACUCCCAGACAUGAACGCUGAAGCGUUAGCCUGUCAUCCACUGAGCACUUCAACCACCGUAAAGGAGGCACCUGGGCUCGGAAGAUCAAAGCUCUGCUCAGUAUUCUCAAGUUGGAUAUUCUGGUAUUUCUGGUGCAUCUUGCAUAUGUAGAAACAGCAAAAUUUCUCUUGGAGAACAGGCAUCAGCAGAGAGAGGGGACAGAUGGUGUUCGAUACGGAGACCGAACUACGGCUCGAUCUUCCCAAAGAAAGUGGGUCCUGCAAGAGCAAGGGAAGACAUCAGUUAAAUUGUCACAAAUAAGCCCCAACUGUUGCAAAACAGCAUCUGAUUUCCUAGAUUAAUCUGAAAGCAGAAAGAAAUGUUCUGGCAGUCCUACUUGAUGUUUCAAGCCUCAGUGGGUAUAUCCAGCCCUACUCAAGCAUGGGGGGUAAGUAUAUAUGCUGCUUGAAUUUGCUUCUUUGCAACACUUAAACGAAUAUAGAAAAUGAACAGAAAUAUCAAGCCACUGGAAAAAAACAUCAUUGAAAUAGAAUUUUUAUGAACUGCUGAGCUGAGAGUUGAGCUGGUACCGGCAGAGUGGGAUCAGUCAGUGGUCAGAUACCAUAUGCUGGAUUUCCAUAUUUUUCAGCCAUCUUUAAGACUGAUUCCUUGUGUUACAUGAGCAAGAGGGAGCCUGGAACUACACAACCUGUCGUUAAAGAAACUUGCACCAUCACCAGGCAUCAGCUCCACUCUCCAGAGGCCCAAUCUCCAGACAAUCAGCUCGUGUGCUGUUAGUGCUUUGUUUCUCUCACUUCUCCUGUGUACAUAUGAAACUGUCGAGCUGAAUUACACUUUAUAAGGUGAUAGGGAAAAGAUGUAACAUUUAUUUUUCCCUUUUACUAAUUUUCACAGUGUGGGGAAGCUAAUUUUUGCAGGCUAAAAACCAACAAAGCAAAACAAGUCCUGCUAUUCUUGACAUCUUUCAGGUAAACAAGAAAAGAAUUUGACAUCAUUUGCAAUUAUUAUCACUUUUUAAAAGCUCCGCUUUUAUAAACAGUGAGGCACGACAACAAAUGAUGCUUAUUGAAAUCUAAAUUUUUACAUUAAAUACACCAAAUGAGCACAAAAGUAGAAUUUUAAGCCUAGAUAGAAGUCUGGCAUCACCCUUCAAAUCCCAUUUCCCACUGUUUUAAGGGGGAGUUGAACAUUGUGCAGCCUCACUGUAAAGAAUAACGUUCCCUAUUAGUGCAGAUAUUUGACAUCUUCUCUAUGAAUCUUGAAAAGAGGGCCAAAAUCAGUGAUUUUCGUGAUGUUUCACUGAAAUUUGUCUUGUGUGGACACCAUUACUUUCCAGCCAUGUAAGCUUUUUUGAUAAUGGACAAUGGAUUCCAAAGACCUGCUCAAGCUCCUGGAUAUCUGCUCCCUAUGGCAGACAGAGUGUACUCACUUCUGACUCUUCAGAGAAAGAGAUUUGCAAUUUCUGUGCCAAACCAGUCAAACCCCACAUCUUAUUUCAUUCAACAGAAAAUGAAAAUUGUGAGCUAUACACAACACUGGUGUUUCUGUUCCCUGCCAGCACUUUGACCCAUCUGACAGGAAAGUUCCCUCUAUGGAGUGUUUUCUACCUUGGUGAGUUCUUUCCAUGACAUUGAUAGAAAAAUCCAGAUUUGUCGAUUCUGUUGUUGUAUUAUUUACCCUGCAGCUGGUUCCACGAGUUUAUUGCCCGACUUCUUCCUAUAGUUUUAAAUGUUCCUGAAUUGUACCAUUUAGUAAGUUCCUGCUAGAGUCAGAGCAUAAAGUUGUUCAAAGUGCUUGCAUUCCUUGAAAAGAGCCAGGCAAGCAUUUUCUCCACAAAUGAGAAUUAUUCAUCAAAUUUAUUUCACCUGGGGUUUGUAUGUGUGCAUGCAUUCUUUGUUAAGUGUUUUAGCAAAUAUUAAAAUCCAAGGUAGGUUAAGGGGAUCAGCAAAAUUCCUGCCAGUAUUAAAUGAAUAUUUGUGCAGGGUGAAUUUUGAGUGUGCUGUGUAAAGCUUAUAAUGCUUAAGACUAUAUUCUUCUGCUAAAUGGUUAAACACUGCCCUAAGAACAAUUUGUCCAGACCAGUAGGAGAGCAGAAAAGAAGUGAGGUACUUGUAGUGAAGAACAUACAACCAUAGGGAAGGAUUAUUUGGGAAAUUAUAACAGGCAGUUGAAGUCUUGGAAGCAUUCAAGAGACUUCAAUACUUCCAAUUGCAAAUUGUUUAUGGAGAGAAAUAAAGCUAAACCUAUCCAAUUUUUUUUCAAGUAGCUCUGGUAACUUGUAAGAUUUGUGUCAGACUCCAAGAAGAAAAUUAUCACCAAUUAGAUUCCAAAGAAUAGCAAUAAAAGCUUGUAAGAGGAAAGCA
Empidonax traillii (willow flycatcher) is the source of this 2566-nucleotide long non-coding RNA. RefSeq lists it as uncharacterized. The record is from RefSeq and is a predicted model, not a curated record. The transcript is spliced from 4 exons. NCBI's taxonomy places the organism in Eukaryota, Metazoa, Chordata, Aves, Passeriformes, Tyrannidae.